This 440-nucleotide ribosomal RNA is filed under the name Blastocystis sp. Its description in RNAcentral is "SSU rRNA". It matches the Rfam family "Eukaryotic small subunit ribosomal RNA", at positions 477 to 933 of the family's 1831-position model. The record is from RNAcentral. RNAcentral also lists the same sequence under 1 other name. Lineage: Eukaryota; Bigyra; Opalinata; Blastocystidae.
ACAAUGCGGGACUAUCAGUCUUGCAAUUGGAUUGAGAACAAUGUACAACUCUUAUCGAUAAGCCAUUGGAGGGCAAGUCUGGUGCCAGCAGCCGCGGUAAUUCCAGCUCCAAUAGCGUAUAUUAACGUUGUUGCAGUUAAAAAGCUCGUAGUUGAAGUGUGGGUGAUCGCUGUUGUGAGACUUCGGUCUCUCGACAGUAAGUCACCCCCUUCCAGUAUCCAGUAGUGGGUAUUCAGUUACUUACUAUUGUGUGUUGGUCGUUUACUGUGAGAAAAUUAGAGUGUUCAAAGCAGGCGUUUGCUUGAAUAGAUUAGCAUGGAAUAAUAAUUGAAGGCUUUCGUGUUCGAUUUGAUUGGUUUGUUCAUGGAAGCAAGGUUAAAAGGAACAGUUGGGGGUAUUCAUAUUCACUAGUUAGAGGUGAAAUUCUCGGAUUUAUGGAA